CUGGCGAACAGAUGCAAAGAUCCUCGUCCCGUAAUUCGGGCACCUCAGGCGAGGGGAGCAAGUGGUGCGACCGGCUCUUCGUUUC
This is a regulatory RNA element of Deinococcus maricopensis DSM 21211, 85 nucleotides long. It matches the Rfam family "c-di-GMP-II-GAG riboswitch aptamer". Lineage: Bacteria; Thermotogati; Deinococcota; Deinococci; Deinococcales; Deinococcaceae. The record is from Rfam.